Molecule: ribosomal RNA, 452 nt
Filed under: uncultured bacterium
Lineage: Bacteria
Description: bacterial SSU rRNA
Rfam family: Bacterial small subunit ribosomal RNA
Source: RNAcentral
GCAAUCCUGGUGGCGAGUGGCGAACGGGUGAGUAAUAUAUCGGAACGUGCCCAGUCGUGGGGGAUAACGCAGCGAAAGCUGUGCUAAUACCGCAUACGAUCUCUGGAUGAAAGCGGGGGACCUGCAAGGGCCUCGCGCGGUUGGAGCGGCCGAUAUCAGAUUAGCUAGUUGGUGGGGUAAAAGCUCACCAAGGCGACGAUCUGUAGCUGGUCUGAGAGGACGACCAGCCACACUGGAACUGAGACACGGUCCAGACUCCUACGGGAGGCAGCAGUGGGGAAUAUUGGACAAUGGGCGAAAGCCUGAUCCAGCAAUGCCGCGUGCAGGAUGAAGGCCUUCGGGUUGUAAACUGCUUUUGUACGGAACGAAACGGUCCUUUCUAAUAUAAGGGGCUAAUGACGGUACCGUAAGAAUAAGCACCGGCUAACUACGUGCCAGCAGCCGCGGUAAUA